UUCUUUUGAGCUUACUUCCCAGUCUCGAAUCCGUGUGAGUGUGUGUGUGUGAGUGUGUGUGAGAGUG
This 67-nucleotide microRNA precursor is filed under the name Bos taurus (domestic cattle). Its description in RNAcentral is "microRNA bta-mir-574 precursor". Its record names the gene bta-mir-574. The record is from miRBase by way of RNAcentral. Lineage: Eukaryota; Metazoa; Chordata; Mammalia; Artiodactyla; Bovidae.